AUUGAACGCUGGCGGCAUGCUUUACACAUGCCAGUCGAACGGUAACAGGCCUUCGGGUGCUGACGAGUGGCGAACGGGUGAGUAAUGCAUCGGAACGUGCCCAGAGGUGGGGGAUAACGCAGCGAAAGCUGUGCUAAUACCGCAUGUGAUCUGAGGAUGAAAGCGGGGGACCAAGCAGCAAUGUUUGGCCUCGCGCCUCUGGAGCGGCCGAUGUCAGAUUAGGUAGUUGGUGGGGUAAAGGCCUACCAAGCCGACGAUCUGUAGCUGGUCUGAGAGGACGACCAGCCACACUGGGACUGAGACACGGCCCAGACUCCUACGGGAGGCAGCAGUGGGGAAUUUUGGACAAUGGGCGCAAGCCUGAUCCAGCAAUGCCGCGUGCGGGAAGAAGGCCUUCGGGUUGUAAACCGCUUUUGUACGGAACGAAAAGGCUCUGGCUAAUACCUGGGGCUGACGACGGUACCGUAAGAAUAAGCACCGGCUAACUACGUG
RNAcentral lists this ribosomal RNA (492 nucleotides) under uncultured bacterium. RNAcentral describes it as "partial 16S ribosomal RNA". It matches the Rfam family "Bacterial small subunit ribosomal RNA", at positions 30 to 507 of the family's 1533-position model. The record is from RNAcentral.